CGGGUAUCAAACUUAUAUGAAAUGUUCACAAAUCGACUAGCUUAAAUUUUGGUCUGAUAAAUAUUAUAUUAGAGAUAUUUCUUGUAUCUUCUUGAUGGACAUGAGAUGUUCAUGAAUCUUAAGGUAUUUUUUUUGAAAAAAAAAUUUCUUGAUGAAAGAACUAAUGCCAUUAAGAGCAAGCUUGGUAAAGCUUGAUAGGUAGAGAAAUAGACUCUGACACAAACCAACAGAAUCAGAGUUGAUUAGAUCAAAUCCAGAGCCCGAUGUAAAAUCAUCUCUGUGUAGAUAUGGUCGAGUACCGUGUCAGCCAAGUAGAUACUUUGGUUUCUAGGUUCGAGAUGGAGAUUUGAUUUUUCAUAUGGAUGCAAUAUAGGGAUUUAACUUUGAGA
This 389-nucleotide long non-coding RNA is filed under the name Elaeis guineensis (African oil palm). RNAcentral's name for it is "long non-coding RNA (EGUI_LNC069996)". The record is from RNAcentral. Lineage: Eukaryota; Viridiplantae; Streptophyta; Magnoliopsida; Arecales; Arecaceae.